Molecule: ribosomal RNA, 322 nt
Filed under: uncultured eukaryote
Lineage: Eukaryota
Description: partial 18S ribosomal RNA
Rfam family: Eukaryotic small subunit ribosomal RNA
Source: RNAcentral
CCCUUAGAUGUUCUGGGCCGCACGCGCGCUACACUGAUGCGUUCAACAAGUUUCCUCGGCCGAGAGGCCUGGGCAAUCUUCUUAAUAUGUAUCGUGAUAGGGAUAGAUUAUUGCAAUUAUUAAUCUUGAACGAGGAAUUCCUAGUAAACGCAGAUCAUCAAUCUGCAUUGAUUACGUCCCUGCCCUUUGUACACACCGCCCGUCGCACCUACCGAUUGGAUGUUCCGGUGAAGCCUCGGGAUGAGGACUGGUGCCUUUAUUGGCAUGAGUUGUUCAGAACUUGUCUAAACCUUAUCAUCUAGAGGAAGGUGAAGUCGUAACA